CAACCGAAAGAGCAUACCCGGUGAAAGCCGGCGACGCAAAACUAAAGGGGCUAACGCGUAAUCCGCUAUGCCAGCCAGGUGCCGAA
This 86-nucleotide non-coding RNA is filed under the name Cohnella sp. RNAcentral describes it as "c-di-GMP sequence". It matches the Rfam family "c-di-GMP-I riboswitch aptamer". From Rfam's summary of the family: GEMM was predicted in a large-scale screen for bacterial structured RNA regulatory elements. Genes associated with GEMM are involved in a diverse array of functions, including chemotaxis regulation, signal transduction, secretion and chitin. The record is from RNAcentral. Lineage: Bacteria; Bacillati; Bacillota; Bacilli; Caryophanales; Paenibacillaceae.